Long non-coding RNA from Daphnia magna, 5269 nucleotides. RefSeq lists it as uncharacterized. The record is from RefSeq and is a predicted model, not a curated record. Lineage: Eukaryota; Metazoa; Arthropoda; Branchiopoda; Diplostraca; Daphniidae. The transcript has 10 exons.
UUCAGUAGGAAAUUUCCUACUGAUUGAUUAAGUAGGUCGAAAAUCUACUUAAUUUGCAAUUUUCUUACUUAAAACGAGUUUCCCAAGUCACUUACUGUAAAUUGCAAAUACUUAUAUGUGGUUAUGCUACUUACACUUACCAUCCCACUUAUAAAUAAGAUGGAAAAUGGCAUUUUAAGUAUGAAACAUUCGAAAUAAGUAUGCUUUAAUUUAAGUAUCUUUAUUCAAGUUUUGCGAAACAUACUUUACCCAUUUUUAAUACUUCCAUUUAAAAGCUGUACCAAAAUUAAGUAUCGUUUCCCCAAAUUUAAGUACUUUUUAUACCAUAUAAGUUCUUUAGUUAAGUACCUUGCACAGUAAAGCAGGUUGACUAAAUCAAAGUCGUUAAAAUUGCAAGUAUCUUGUAACUCUGACGAAUUUUGAUGAUCAAACACUACUCAUGAAUUGUCAAUUGAAAAUCCAACAACUUUUUUUGAACACAUCAAAUUCCAUCACAGGAAUACCGGGAAUUCUAUAAUGUUGCACUGUUAAAAAAGGUUUUUUUAGUAGGAAAUCUCGUGUAAGUAUGGGCGGAAUUUAAGUAUCCAAAGCCAUGUAAGAGAUCCUGGCACCUCUUAAGUAGGAAACAAUAAGUAGGGAGCCGCUGCUGUGUUGUUCUCCUGGAUCUACGAGUCACGCAGAUCAUCAUUCUUAGAUGUAGGACAACAUGGUCGUGUUCUCUAGUUCUUCUCUCGAAUGGCUGCUGAAGCAUUUUCCGGUACCCCCGUGGUCAAAUCUUUUUGAGUCAGUCCAUCUAGAAAACAAUAUCUCCCUGUAUCUAUCCGUGCCGAACGUAAAACGUAUUUUCAUCAGCCACAGCUGCGCUUCUAACUCGAACCGGUGUUCUGUGCUGUCCACAGAUCACCAAGUAAUCCUGGAAAUUGAAAACGUUACACUACCUACGAAUGUCAACGAGCCACAAACUAUACAAAUCGCGGUCCACCAGGCUCUGAAAAAAGCCAAAACAACUGAUUCGAAGUACACACGGGUAGAGCAAGUAUCGUCAGCUCCCUCAUCAUUCUCAUUCACUCGACCACUUCGCAAACUGUUCAGCUUGCAGAUUUCUAAUCUUGUAUCCCUAGCAGUAGUUGAAGUUAAAACUGUUCUACUGAUCGGUAGUAGUACAAAUUCCUUGCCUAGUAUGACCUUCUCUAGAGGAUGUAGUUGUCCAGAAGUAAGUGGUGCUGGCUCCUCAGAGAAUUUUCUCCCAUCCAAAUCAAACGUACGGAACGAAAUCCGCCAACAGAUUGUAGAGUUAUAUGGAACCGGGAAUGGGCCAAAUUGGCAUCCGGGUCAAUUACCUGGUCCUUCUUCCCAGACGUUAAAUCCGCGGAAGCUAUGUCAAGCAACCCACCAUUAGGCCAGGUAAGCCAAAUUGUUUCAGGACCCUCACUUCUAAACUCCCACCAGUUCCGCUUCAAAUUCUCGAUUUCAUCUGCAUGCGCGUAUGGCCAGCCGGUUGAAACCAUGGAAAACUUUUUAUUUCACUGUCCCUUGUUUUCCCAGCCUCGCAUCGCUUUGAAGUCAAUCUGCCAAGCGAACCUAUAGUAUGGUUUGGCCACCAAGUCUAGCUAUCAUACCCGCAGUCACAGAUAUUUGGAAAGCAAUGAGUACGUUCAUCCAUAGUACAAAGUGCCUACGUUGGCAAAUCUCUUGAUUCUUUAAUUACUAUCUCUUUUUUUGUCUCCACAAUUCUCACUCCCAACACCCUAGAACUAUUAUCUUAGCACACUGUAACUGUGACCAAGGCUUUCUGUGUGGUUGAGGCUAUAGCGGAGGCCGUCGGCUGGCGGUCUUGAAGGUUCAACCAAGCCGGGAAGACUCUGCAGGCCGUACUAGAAUUUGUCAUGUUCACCCGAUCAGUAUGGCGUAAGCAGGCCCAGUUUUCAAAAAUAUAAUUUGUAAAAAAUUUAAUCAGCCUCGUAUCCAUGGCAUCCAACGAUUUUGCCUAACUUUGCUAACUUUAUAGUUGCCUUUAAAUCCAGUCAAAAAUAUUACACUACGAUCGGUUCUGACAUGUGAUUUAUGUAAAUAAUCGCCCUGUUUAUCGGUAAAUACAUUCCGGGCAGUACUCCCCCAUAGGAGCUGAGCCCAGUUUAAAAAAAAAUACCUUUGUCAAGUGAAUGGGCAACGAAGAUUCACACCACUGGUUAUAGAAAGAGCUUCUCUUUCAAAUGAAUAUUAAAAAACUUACCUUGUUUCUUAAUUGACGUUUGUAGCAGAAGGCAUCAGCUAAUAUGCACACUACACGGUGUGUGAGGUAACGCGGGAGACGGGAAAUUGAAAUAAAAUGGAUUUAGGUCGGAAUACAAAUCAUCUAGUUUGGUGCAGUUCAACUUCUAUGACGAUGCAAAAGUGCCAUUUUGACCGGGAUGACUAUUUCAACCGUAAUUAUUUACAGCUAAAUGACUAUGGCCGAAGCCCAAAAUUGGUUAAGGAAUAUUCCCAGAUAGACUUGGUCCAUUGUUUUGAUUUUCUAUCAGAAAAAAGAAAUCGACGACCAAUGCAUAUUGCCUUUAUCGGCGAUUUAACAGUUCGCCAAUUUUAUUUUUACUUUCCUUGGGUUGAUUCCAGACUACGAUAGGGCAAAAAGUAUCAAGAAGACGGCCUUCGCACAAUUUGUUUUUCAUGAUGACGGGAAUGUAACGAGUCGUAUUGUAGACAACCUUCUUGUCUCCUUUUACUGGCGAAAUUUAAUAAGAAAUGAUCUGAUAGCCGACUUUAAAAGAUGGGCUUCUACGGAAAAUAUCAACCAAGUACCCGACUUCAUCUUCUUCGAAAAGGUUGCCGAUCAUGUUGCUGUAGUUAGAAUCAGAGUUGAAAGAAGCUCACCGAUUUUGGAGCGCGCUCAGAGCUAUCCGCUCACACCCGUAAAACGAGUGCGGAAGGCGAGCGCGCUCGCGUUUUUUGGUGAGCGGCGAGCUAGAGCCGCUCUAUUUUAAAAAUCACGAGCUAGAGCGGGAGCGGAUGAGUCACGAGCGGAAGCUCGUGACCGUGGCACCAUCUAUCAGCCAAUAUUUUCACCAAGUGUAAUUCGUCAAUUCCAAAGCAGAAAACAGGAGGCUGACCUCUAAAUCUAAGGCAAUGGAAAUGGCAAGUGCAAAUAUAAGUCAAGGCAUGGCUGACCAAAUCACGCUAUCAGCCUCUGAUGGCUCUGAAUCUGAAUCAGAAUCAAAUCAUGCAAAUUCCUCUUGAAAAUGGAAACACCGGGGGAAAAAACCAACAAGCUGAAAUGAAUCUAGAAUUAAAUUGCCAUCCAACUAUUUCUAAUUCAUGUACGACAAAAAAGAUGGCAAAGGCUUUUUAGUUAAAUGCCUCAUAGGUCACAAGACAAAGCCAAAGUUUAAUAAAAAAGGCGAGAUUGAACUUCUGACUAUUACCAACAAUUCUGGCUACAAUUCCAAGAGGCACAUAGGAACAAUACACCCUACACACCUAACAGAAUUUAACUCUGCUUGGCAAAUAAGAAACCAAGAACCAAGCGUAGAGAGACAGUCAUCUAAUCCUGUUCAGGCUAGACUCUCUACCACGAGAAAAGUAAAAAAGACUAAUAAGUCUUCUAUAUAAAGAAUCAUUUGGAUAGUUCUUGGAAGUAUAAGCAGAUUAGAACACAGGAAGAUUUGAACAAAGCUAUCCUGAUGAGUAUUUCUUUACAUUAGUCAUAGUCUUUUCUCAUCUCAUCUCAUCCCCAACUAAAUAAAAUUAUUCUUAGUUAGUCUUUACUCUUUCAAUUUAACUUUUAAAGUUAACAAGAUUUUCAAGUUAAAGUAAAUAAAAAUUCAAUUUUUUAAAAAAGCUUUAACUGAAAUUCAAAAAUGUGAAGUACUACAUGUAUUCAAUUAUAAUACACCUGUUAAAAUGGAAUAUGAAUAUGAUAAACGGAAAUUUUCAGUGAACGUCCAGCGACAAAAUUUUGAAGGCUGAAAAAGAGCUUUUGCGAGUGGCUCGCGCUCUUUUUUUCAAAUGGUGAGCGGAGAGCGCGAGCUGCUCGUUUUACGGGUGUGAGCGGAUAGCUCUGAGCGCGCUCCAAAAUCGGUAAGCUUCUUUCAACUCUGUCUUUAAGUUCUAUUGAUAAUGGUUUGUUCUAAAAAGAAAAGAAAAAAAUUUGCUGUUUUAAAAACAACAAAGAAUAAAAUACUCUGUCAGAAUACUCAAAUAUAAUCACAUUUGCAGAAAGACUAGAAUCUUACUUUUACCGUCAACAAAAAGAACGGUCAAGAAAUUUUGACAGGUAUAAGAAAUCUGUCUACUUCCAAAUGGGAUGAGUCAAAGAAGAUUUUGUACCAGGCCAAUAUCUACUUGAUGUGGGGGAAAAGCGUUUUGGCGACCUUUCUACUAGAUUUCGGCUAAAUUGUAGUUGUUUUUUAGUCCAACUAAAUGAUCUCCAACUUAAACCAUUUUGCCGUUAAUCGUCUUCGUUCUCAGCUCAACUCUUCUCAGCAUGAUUUUACGUUUGCGUUAACACUGAUAAAUUGUGGUUGCGGUUUUCGUACGCAAAUAUUUUCUAAUACCGGUGGAAGAGGGACGUACGUUUUUUACCGACGAAAAUCCGUUUUACAUUUUAGAAUACGAAAAUCGUUGGGGUUUUUUUCAGACGAUAAUAGUACUACUUUUAUUUGAAUGAAAUUUCAUAAAAAUUUUAGUUUUUUGAGGAAAUAGCUACCUAUAGAUAAUCUCAAACCCGAGUCUCAAACCCAAGUCUCCCGCAUCGCAAUCAGAAAUCAGUCCACGAUGCCAACCAUUGUUAAACAUAUGUGUCCAACGCCAUCUGUGUGCAUAAUGGGCAACCAUGUACAGCCCUUGUACGUGGCUCUAUUGCUUUUUUGUUCUGCUACCGUACACAUGUUUUCUCUCUCUCUCUGCAUCUCUCUAUCAAAGUAGUGAUCUCCAACUAUUCAUUCAGGUACUUAAUAAAAGAUCAUAAGUGUGUUUCUCAAUUGUGUUAUAGCUAAUUCAAACAGGUUAUGGGCCCAGGUUAACCGAUAUUUUUUUCUUAGUAAGUUAAAAAAAAAAAAAAAACACCAAACUCAACCACGUUGAACAACUCAGUGGCACAAUUGUUCUUCUGCCUCCCAUUGUAGAAUCGAAAUAGUAGAGACUUAAGGGACGUUACUACUAUGACUGAAUCAAAAAUUCCCAAACUUAGCCAUAUCGAGCAGUUCAAUGGCACAAACUUUCAAUUGUGGAAGUACAAUUGCUGGCUCGUUCUUGACCAAAGUGAUUUACUUGA